AGCGAACGCUGGCGGCAGGCUUAACACAUGCAAGUCGAGCGGGCAUCUUCGGAUGUCAGCGGCAGACGGGUGAGUAACACGUGGGAACGUACCCUUCGGUUCGGAACAACUCUGGGAAACUGGAGCUAAUACCGGAUACGCCCUUACGGGGAAAGGUUGACUGCCGAAGGAUCGGCCCGCGUCUGAUUAGCUAGUUGGUGGGGUAACGGCCUACCAAGGCGACGAUCAGUAGCUGGUCUGAGAGGAUGAUCAGCCACACUGGGACGGAGACACGGCCCAGACUCCUACGGGAGGCAGCAGUGGGGAAUAUUGGACAAUGGGCGCAAGCCUGAUCCAGCCAUGCCGCGUGAGUGAUGAAGGCCUUAGAGUUGUAAAGCUCUUUUGUCCGGGACGAUAAUGACGGUACCGGAAGAAUAAGCCCCGGCUAACUUCGUG
RNAcentral lists this ribosomal RNA (435 nucleotides) under uncultured bacterium. RNAcentral's name for it is "partial 16S ribosomal RNA". It matches the Rfam family "Bacterial small subunit ribosomal RNA", at positions 29 to 507 of the family's 1533-position model. The record is from RNAcentral.